GAUGAAGAACGUAGCGAAAUGCGAUAAGUAAUGUGAAUUGCAGAAUUCAGUGAAUCAUCGAAUCUUUGAACGCACCUUGCACCCUUUGGUAUUCCGAAGGGUAUGCUCGUUUGAGUGUCAUUGUACUCUCACACUUCUAAUUCCUUUCGGGAUUGGGAGCGGUGGACUUGGGUGUUGCUGCUUUAGUUGUGGCUCACCUCAAAUAAGUUAGUGCAACUCUUGGUUGGACAUAGUACGGCGUGAUAAGUGUCUUCGCCGGCGCCUCUGUAAGGAGGGUGGCCGAUCGGGAGCUCUGUGCUUAAAACCGUCUUCGGACAAUCUUUGACAACUUGACCUCAAAUCGAGUAGGACUACCCGCUGAACUUAAGCAUAUCAAUAAGCGAGGA
This 386-nucleotide unclassified non-coding RNA is filed under the name soil metagenome. Its description in RNAcentral is "partial contains 5.8S ribosomal RNA, internal transcribed spacer 2, and large subunit ribosomal RNA". The stretch from base 1 to 120 matches the Rfam family "5.8S ribosomal RNA", at positions 35 to 154 of the family's 154-position model. The record is from RNAcentral.